UACGUAGGGCGCAAGCGUUGUCCGGAAUUAUUGGGCGUAAAGAGCUCGUAGGCGGUCUGUCACGUCUGCCGUGAAAACCCGAGGCUUAACCUCGUGGCUUGCGGUGGAUACGGGCAGACUAGAGGUAGGUAGGGGAGAACGGAAUUCCCGGUGUAGCGGUGAAAUGCGCAGAUAUCAGGAGGAACACCGGUGGCGAAGGCGGGUCUCUGGGCCGAUACUGACGCUGAGGAGCGAAAGCGUGGGGAGCAAACAGG
Molecule: ribosomal RNA, 254 nt
Filed under: uncultured bacterium
Lineage: Bacteria
Description: partial 16S ribosomal RNA
Rfam family: Bacterial small subunit ribosomal RNA
Source: RNAcentral